This 394-nucleotide ribosomal RNA is filed under the name Vibrio parahaemolyticus. RNAcentral's name for it is "bacterial SSU rRNA". It matches the Rfam family "Bacterial small subunit ribosomal RNA", at positions 1149 to 1533 of the family's 1533-position model. Lineage: Bacteria; Pseudomonadati; Pseudomonadota; Gammaproteobacteria; Vibrionales; Vibrionaceae. The record is from RNAcentral.
CUGCCGGUGAUAAACCGGAGGAAGGUGGGGACGACGUCAAGUCAUCAUGGCCCUUACGAGUAGGGCUACACACGUGCUACAAUGGCGCAUACAGAGGGCGGCCAACUUGCGAAAGUGAGCGAAUCCCAAAAAGUGCGUCGUAGUCCGGAUUGGAGUCUGCAACUCGACUCCAUGAAGUCGGAAUCGCUAGUAAUCGUGGAUCAGAAUGCCACGGUGAAUACGUUCCCGGGCCUUGUACACACCGCCCGUCACACCAUGGGAGUGGGCUGCAAAAGAAGUAGGUAGUUUAACCUUCGGGGGGACGCUUACCACUUUGUGGUUCAUGACUGGGGUGAAGUCGUAACAAGGUAGCGCUAGGGGAACCUGGCGCUGGAUCACCUCCUUAAACGAUGAU